AUCAAAUCUAAUUUGAUAUUGAAAAGUCGUCGCUUUGCGGCGGCUUUUUAUAUUACAUAAAGUGCUUCACUCCCAGUUAAAUUAGUAUGAAACAUGGUUAAAAGGUGCCAAAUCGUUUGGAUUCCAGUUCGUCAGCAAGGUUCGUCCUAUUCCAACUUACGGGGCCGGGUGACAAUUGCUGGAACGUAGCCGACGUCGAUUUGGGCUUACGCAGCAACCCACUGCGCAAUCUCAAAUGCGAGUCUUAUUCUAGGCUGGAAGCAGACCACUUCCAGCCUAGAAUAAUUUGGUUACUGAGCAUUGUCACCCAACCCCUCCAGUCGGUAAGCCGGUCGAAUGGCUGAUGAACGACCACCUAACUUGGUGCAACUUGUCGCUGAACGGGUUUACUACUUAGAAUUUUGAACAUGCGUUAAUGCUGUCUCAUUGUUUGGGAUACCUCAGUACUAAUACGGUGGAGUUAGAAAUAAUCGUACAAUCACAAUUAUAUUAUCAAACUAACUGUUGUAUGAUAAAAUUGUUGUCUCUAAAAUAGCAACAUCUAAUUCAUUCAAUGCUGGGUCUACCUAUGUCGGCCAUUCGAAUACUAUCACGACUGGAAGGCGUUUCGGCCAAUGCUCAGCGGUGAAAUUCCACUUAGCAAGCGUUUUUGGCUUGGUUAGUGGAAGACCAGUAUUUAAGACGUGGUCUUCGGCUUAAAUCUGUGUCCACCGCGUUCCAGCAAUUGGCCGAAAUGCCUGGAAGUCGGUAUAGGACGCCGCUAGCUAAGUAAAUUUACGCUAAGUAGAUCUUUUUCCAGCGGGCUUAAGCUGGAUCACUUGACGUUGACGAUUUGGCACCUUUUAAUCAUGUUCC
Molecule: unclassified non-coding RNA, 855 nt
Filed under: Lactiplantibacillus plantarum
Lineage: Bacteria; Bacillati; Bacillota; Bacilli; Lactobacillales; Lactobacillaceae
Description: Lactobacillus plantarum miscellaneous RNA
Source: RNAcentral